GACAGAGGGUGCAAACGUUGUUCGGAAUUACUGGGCGUAAAGCGUGCGCAGGCGGCUUUGCAAGACAGAUGUGAAAUCCCCGGGCUUAACCUGGGAACUGCAUUUGUGACUGCAUGGCUGGAGUGCGGCAGAGGGGGAUGGAAUUCCGCGUGUAGCAGUGAAAUACGUAGAUAUGCGGAGGAACACCGAUGGCGAAGGCAAUCCCCUGGGCCUGCACUGACGCUCAUGCACGAAAGCGUGGGGAGCAAACAGG
This 253-nucleotide ribosomal RNA is filed under the name uncultured bacterium. RNAcentral's name for it is "partial 16S ribosomal RNA". It matches the Rfam family "Bacterial small subunit ribosomal RNA", at positions 524 to 776 of the family's 1533-position model. The record is from RNAcentral.